GCCUCCUUAGCUCAGCUGGUAGAGCAACUGACUUGUAAUCAGUAGGUCGCUGGUUCGAUUCCGGCAGGGGGCUC
RNAcentral lists this transfer RNA (74 nucleotides) under Chryseotalea sanaruensis. RNAcentral's name for it is "tRNA-Thr". It matches the Rfam family "tRNA". Rfam says of the family: Transfer RNA (tRNA) molecules are approximately 80 nucleotides in length. Their secondary structure includes four short double-helical elements and three loops (D, anti-codon, and T loops). Lineage: Bacteria; Pseudomonadati; Bacteroidota; Cytophagia; Cytophagales; Chryseotaleaceae. The record is from RNAcentral.